UUAAGCGACUAAGCGUACACGGUGGAUGCCCUGGCAGUCAGAGGCGAUGAAGGACGUGCUAAUCUGCGAAAAGCGUCGGUAAGGUGAUAUGAACCGUUACAGCCGGCGAUGUCCGAAUGGGGAAACCCAGUGCAAUUCGUUGCACUAUCGUUAACUGAAUACAUAGGUUAACGAGGCGAACCGGGGGAACUGAAACAUCUAAGUACCCCGAGGAAAAGAAAUCAACCGAGAUUCCCCCAGUAGCGGCGAGCGAACGGGGAGCAGCCCAGAGUCUGAAUCAGCUUGUGUGUUAGUGGAACGGUCUGGAAAGUCCGACGGUACAGGGUGAUAGUCCCGUACACCAAAAUGCACAGGCUGUGAACUCGAAGAGUAGGGCGGGACACGUGGUAUCCUGUCUGAAUAUGGGGGGACCAUCCUCCAAGGCUAAAUACUCCUGACUGACCGAUAGUGAACCAGUACCGUGAGGGAAAGGCGAAAAGAACCCCGGCGAGGGGAGUGAAAAAGAACCUGAAACCGUGUACGUACAAGCAGUGGGAGCACCUUCGGGUGUGACUGCGUACCUUUUGUAUAAUGGGUCAGCGACUUAUAUUCUGUAGCAAGGUUAACCGUAUAGGGGAGCCGCAGGGAAACCGAGUCUUAACUGGGCGUUAAGUUGCAGGGUAUAGACCCGAAACCCGGUGAUCUAGCCAUGGGCAGGUUGAAGGUUGGGUAACACUAACUGGAGGACCGAACCGACUAAUGUUGAAAAAUUAGCGGAUGACUUGUGGCUGGGGGUGAAAGGCCAAUCAAACCGGGAGAUAGCUGGUUCUCCCCGAAAGCUAUUUAGGUAGCGCCUCGUGAAUUCAUCUUCGGGGGUAGAGCACUGUUUCGGCUAGGGGGUCAUCCCGACUUACCAACCCGAUGCAAACUACGAAUACCGAAGAAUGUUAUCACGGGAGACACACGGCGGGUGCUAACGUCCGUCGUGAAGAGGGAAACAACCCAGACCGCCAGCUAAGGUCCCAAAGUCAUGGUUAAGUGGGAAACGAUGUGGGAAGGCACAGACAGCCAGGAUGUUGGCUUAGAAGCAGCCAUCAUUUAAAGAAAGCGUAAUAGCUCACUGGUCGAGUCGGCCUGCGCGGAAGAUGUAACGGGGCUAAACCAUGCACCGAAGCUGCGGCAGCGACACUAUGUGUUGUUGGGUAGGGGAGCGUUCUGUAAGCCUGCGAAGGUGUGCUGUGAGGCAUGCUGGAGGUAUCAGAAGUGCGAAUGCUGACAUAAGUAACGAUAAAGCGGGUGAAAAGCCCGCUCGCCGGAAGACCAAGGGUUCCUGUCCAACGUUAAUCGGGGCAGGGUGAGUCGACCCCUAAGGCGAGGCCGAAAGGCGUAGUCGAUGGGAAACAGGUUAAUAUUCCUGUACUUGGUGUUACUGCGAAGGGGGGACGGAGAAGGCUAUGUUAGCCGGGCGACGGUUGUCCCGGUUUAAGCAUGUAGGCUGGUUAUCCAGGCAAAUCCGGAUAAUCAAGGCUGAGGUGUGAUGACGAGGCACUACGGUGCUGAAGUAACAAAUGCCCUGCUUCCAGGAAAAGCCUCUAAGCAUCAGGUAACAUUAAAUCGUACCCCAAACCGACACAGGUGGUCAGGUAGAGAAUACCAAGGCGCUUGAGAGAACUCGGGUGAAGGAACUAGGCAAAAUGGUGCCGUAACUUCGGGAGAAGGCACGCUGGUGUGUAGGUGAAGCCCCUGCGGGUGGAGCUGAGACCAGUCGAAGAUACCAGCUGGCUGCAACUGUUUAUUAAAAACACAGCACUGUGCAAACACGAAAGUGGACGUAUACGGUGUGACGCCUGCCCGGUGCCGGAAGGUUAAUUGAUGGGGUUAUCCGUAAGGAGAAGCUCUUGAUCGAAGCCCCGGUAAACGGCGGCCGUAACUAUAACGGUCCUAAGGUAGCGAAAUUCCUUGUCGGGUAAGUUCCGACCUGCACGAAUGGCGUAAUGAUGGCCAGGCUGUCUCCACCCGAGACUCAGUGAAAUUGAACUCGCUGUGAAGAUGCAGUGUACCCGCGGCAAGACGGAAAGACCCCGUGAACCUUUACUAUAGCUUGACACUGAACAUUGAGCCUUGAUGUGUAGGAUAGGUGGGAGGCUUUGAAGCGUGGACGCCAGUCUGCGUGGAGCCAACCUUGAAAUACCACCCUUUAAUGUUUGAUGUUCUAACGUUGGCCCCUGACCGGGGUUGCGGACAGUGUCUGGUGGGUAGUUUGACUGGGGCGGUCUCCUCCCAAAGCGUAACGGAGGAGCACGAAGGUUAGCUAAUCCUGGUCGGACAUCAGGAGGUUAGUGCAAUGGCAUAAGCUAGCUUGACUGCGAGCGUGACGGCGCGAGCAGGUGCGAAAGCAGGUCAUAGUGAUCCGGUGGUUCUGAAUGGAAGGGCCAUCGCUCAACGGAUAAAAGGUACUCCGGGGAUAACAGGCUGAUACCGCCCAAGAGUUCAUAUCGACGGCGGUGUUUGGCACCUCGAUGUCGGCUCAUCACAUCCUGGGGCUGAAGUAGGUCCCAAGGGUAUGGCUGUUCGCCAUUUAAAGUGGUACGCGAGCUGGGUUUAGAACGUCGUGAGACAGUUCGGUCCCUAUCUGCCGUGGGCGCUGGAGAAUUGAGGGGGGCUGCUCCUAGUACGAGAGGACCGGAGUGGACGCAUCACUGGUGUUCGGGUUGUCAUGCCAAUGGCACUGCCCGGUAGCUAAAUGCGGAAGAGAUAAGUGCUGAAAGCAUCUAAGCACGAAACUUGCCCCGAGAUGAGUUCUCCCUGAGACUUUAAGUCUCCUGAAGGAACGUUGAAGACGACGACGUUGAUAGGCCGGGUGUGUAAGCGCAGCGAUGCGUUGAGCUAACCGGUACUAAUGAACCGUGAGGCUUAACCU
Molecule: ribosomal RNA, 2899 nt
Filed under: Klebsiella pneumoniae
Lineage: Bacteria; Pseudomonadati; Pseudomonadota; Gammaproteobacteria; Enterobacterales; Enterobacteriaceae
Description: 23S ribosomal RNA
Rfam family: Bacterial large subunit ribosomal RNA
Source: RNAcentral